ACAUGCAAGUCGAACGAGACUUCGGGUCUAGUGGCGCACGGGUGCGUAACGCGUGGGAACUCUGCCCUUGGGUUCGGAANAACUUCGGGAAACUGAAGCUAAUACCGGAUGAUGACGUAAGUCCAAAGAUUUAUCGCCCAAGGAUGAGCCCGCGUAGGAUUAGCUAGUUGGUGGGGUAAAGGCUCACCAAGGCGACGAUCCUUAGCUGGUCUGAGAGGAUGAUCAGCCACACUGGGACUGAGACACGGCCCAGACUCCUACGGGAGGCAGCAGUGGGGAAUAUUGGACAAUGGGGCGAAAGCCUGAUCCAGCAAUGCCGCGUGAGUGAUGAAGGCCUUAGGGUUGUAAAGCUCUUUUACCCGAGAUGAUAAUGACAGUAUCGGGAGAAUAAGCUCCGGCUAACUCCGUG
This 409-nucleotide ribosomal RNA is filed under the name uncultured bacterium. RNAcentral describes it as "bacterial SSU rRNA". It matches the Rfam family "Bacterial small subunit ribosomal RNA", at positions 53 to 507 of the family's 1533-position model. The record is from RNAcentral.